CCUACGGGAGGCAGCAGUGGGGAAUAUUGGACAAUGGGGGGAACCCUGAUCCAGCCAUGCCGCGUGUGUGAAGAAGGCCCUCGGGUUGUAAAGCACUUUCAGUGAGGAAGAACGCCUGGUGGUUAAUACCCAUCAGGAAAGACAUCACUCACAGAAGAAGCACCGGCUAACUCCGUGCCAGCAGCCGCGGUAAUACGGAGGGUGCGAGCGUUAAUCGGAAUUACUGGGCGUAAAGCGCGCGUAGGUGGCUUGAUAAGCCGGUUGUGAAAGCCCCGGGCUCAACCUGGGAACGGCAUCCGGAACUGUCAAGCUAGAGUGCAGGAGAGGAAGGUAGAAUUCCCGGUGUAGCGGUGAAAUGCGUAGAGAUCGGGAGGAAUACCAGUGGCGAAGGCGGCCUUCUGGACUGACACUGACACCGAGGUGCGAAAGCGUGGGUAGCAAACAGGAUUAGAUACCCUAGUAGUC
Molecule: ribosomal RNA, 465 nt
Filed under: Vreelandella stevensii
Lineage: Bacteria; Pseudomonadati; Pseudomonadota; Gammaproteobacteria; Oceanospirillales; Halomonadaceae
Description: partial 16S ribosomal RNA
Rfam family: Bacterial small subunit ribosomal RNA
Source: RNAcentral